RNAcentral lists this ribosomal RNA (372 nucleotides) under uncultured organism. Its description in RNAcentral is "bacterial SSU rRNA". It matches the Rfam family "Bacterial small subunit ribosomal RNA", at positions 526 to 896 of the family's 1533-position model. The record is from RNAcentral.
CGAAGGGUGCAAGCGUUACUCGGAAUUACUGGGCGUAAAGCGUGCGUAGGUGGUUGUUUAAGUCUGUCGUGAAAGCCCUGGGCUCAACCUGGGAAUUGCGAUGGAUACUGGGCGACUAGAGUGUGGUAGAGGGUGGCGGAAUUCCCGGUGUAGCAGUGAAAUGCGUAGAGAUCGGGAGGAACAUCCGUGGCGAAGGCGGCCACCUGGGCCAACACUGACACUGAGGCACGAAAGCGUGGGGAGCAAACAGGAUUAGAUACCCUGGUAGUCCACGCCCUAAACGAUGCGAACUGGAUGUUGGGUUCAACUUGGAACCCAGUAUCGAAGCUAACGCGUUAAGUUCGCCGCCUGGGGAGUACGGUCGCAAGACUG